Long non-coding RNA from Haliotis rubra (blacklip abalone), 147 nucleotides. RefSeq lists it as uncharacterized. The transcript is spliced from 3 exons. Lineage: Eukaryota; Metazoa; Mollusca; Gastropoda; Lepetellida; Haliotidae. The record is from RefSeq and is a predicted model, not a curated record.
ACUUACAGUAACAUUUGUCACAAUGAACACUUAACACCAGAGUUCGUGACUGAAACGUAAUGUUAUGAUCACUUGUUCAGUGAGUAUUUGUUGACAACUUGUCUUGACAGUGUUCUAAUUGUGCAUUGUGCGAAUAUUCCAAAGUUU